This 397-nucleotide ribosomal RNA is filed under the name uncultured bacterium. Its description in RNAcentral is "partial 16S ribosomal RNA". It matches the Rfam family "Bacterial small subunit ribosomal RNA", at positions 523 to 918 of the family's 1533-position model. The record is from RNAcentral.
AUACGUAGGUGACAAGCGUUAUCCGGAUUUACUGGGCGUAAAGGGCGUGUAGGCGGUCUUGCAAGUCAGAAGUGAAAUUCCUGAGCUCAACUCGGGCGCUGCUUCUGAAACUGCAGGACUUGAGUGCUGGAGGGGAUAGCGGAAUUCCUAGUGGAGCGGUAAAAUGCGCAGAUAUUAGGAAGAACACCGGUGGCGAGGGCGGCUAUCUGGACAGUAACUGACGCUGAGGCGCGAAAGCGUGGGGAGCAAACAGGAUUAGAUACCCCGGUAGUCCACGCCGUAAACGAUGAAUACUAGGUGUAGGGGGUAUCGACUCCCUCUGUGCCGCAGUUAACACAAUAAGUAUUCCGCCUGGGGAGUACGGCCGCAAGGUUGAAACUCAAAUGAAUUGACGGGG